UACGAAGGGGGGCGAGCGUUGUUCGGAAUUACUGGGCGUAAAGGGCGCGCAGGCGGCUCUGAAAGUCAGAUGUGAAAGCCCCGGGCUUAACCUGGGAAUUGCAUUUGAUACUCUGGAGCUUGAGUACGGGAGAAGAGAGUGGAAUUCCCAGUGUAGAGGUGAAAUUCGUAGAUAUUGGGAAGAACACCGGUGGCGAAGGCGGCUCUCUGGACCGUAACUGACGCUGAGGCGCGAAAGCGUGGGGAGCAAACAGG
RNAcentral lists this ribosomal RNA (254 nucleotides) under uncultured bacterium. Its description in RNAcentral is "partial 16S ribosomal RNA". It matches the Rfam family "Bacterial small subunit ribosomal RNA", at positions 524 to 776 of the family's 1533-position model. The record is from RNAcentral.